UUGCACUGAAAUUGAAAGUGAUCUUGUGGUUAAAAGGCUUAGAGACCACAGAUCUCCUGUGGGCCAAGACCUUUAAAACCCCUCCUCUCUGCUUUAGGGGCCUGGCGAGGACAUUUUCAAACAUGGCCACUGCUUUUGAGUGGUGUUGUUUUGGGGAGCUCUGCCAGAGACGUAGGGCCUGAUUUUUCAGAGGCAUUGAGCAUUUCAUGCAGAAAAGGUGCGGCAGAACAACACCACCCCUCCCAGCUCCAAUGGAAAUCCGUGAGCAUUGCCAGGGAUUUCAAAAUCGCCUCUGAAAAUCAGGCCCCGAGCGGCUCUAGUUAGGCUCCCAGAUUCAGGCUAUUCAUGCCAGGUAGCUCAGUGCACCUCGGUUGUGGAUGAGAAGGGAACCAAUUCGUCCCAGCCACCGUUCCUUUGAACCGAAGACCAGUGUAGCCUAAACAGCUUCUGUUUCCUCCUCCUCUCCAGAUUACGCCGGCCCACCGGAGCCAUAUAUCUGGCGCGCUGGAUCUCAACCACACUGCGCUCCGGAAAUCUCUGCAGGCUGCCCUGGAGAAAGUGGCUCCCAGGUGAAAAAAUGAAGUUGCCCACGCACACGUGCCGGCCGUCCUAAUGGAACAGAGCAGUAAAAUGACCUGGAGCCACCGAGGAUCUGGCAGGGUGGAAGAGGGCCCUUUUACCACUAGUGACUGUGAUGAGCGCUCUCUAACACAGGAAGAGGGCGGCUUUCAGAGCUGUAGUUACAGGCAGCAUAAUGGAGCUGUGAGAGUAAUGCCAGACUGGUGCCCCACAGCAUACGUCUGAAACGAAAACAUUUGUUGAGCGACUUCAAGAGGCAACCUGGCUCCCCCUUCAUCUAAAAGAUUCUGUGUAUGGAAAAUCCCAUAACUAAGGCAGAACUAAAAUUCUAGGGGAACUCCCGGCGUAACUCCCCUUAUUAACACCCCAUCUGUCCAAGGCACCUGUGUUCCUACUUGGGCUGUUUUCUUGCAUAAAAACUCUUCACGCACGAUGGCGCUCUCUGUAUAUUUGGAUCUCCUAAAGCAGAGGGUUUCUUGGCUAAGCUAGCUGAUGCUAGAGCAAACCAGCUCUCUGUAAAAACUAGUUUGGAUGAAAUAACUUCCUCUCCCUCCAGACCUUGACCUUCCUGGAGGUUCAGACUCCUCCGCCUUUUUACUUUCCCUUCGUGCAAGUGCCAAAAUAGCUGAUGAGGCUAGACUAUGAGCAGGCAGCACUAAAAACCUCUUCUCAUGAAACUUCCAGCCCAGUUGGGAAAGCAGAUGGCAUCGCUGAGGUGUUGAUUAAAACCAAACUGAGUGAACUGGAGAUGUUAUUGGGUAAGAGCAGUUUAUAAAGUGAGCCCUUUAUAAGUGAACUCCUUGCUCCAAAGGAAUGAAAUGUUUACAGGGGACCUGCCCAUGGGUUUCUGCAGUAAGCAUUCCCCCAACCCCUGCAGAAGAGAGCUUCAGCCUCUGUUAUCUCAGGAAAGGAGACAGUUUGCCUCUGGGUGUCUUCAACACUCAGUCUUGUCCUUUGGGCUCACUCACUUUGUGUUCAUUGAAGGGAUGUUAAAUUGCAAGUCA
Non-coding RNA from Pelodiscus sinensis (Chinese soft-shelled turtle), 1583 nucleotides. The record is from RefSeq and is a predicted model, not a curated record. NCBI's taxonomy places the organism in Eukaryota, Metazoa, Chordata, Testudines, Trionychidae.